GGACUUAUACUGACCAGCUAUAACAGAGCUCUGGACACAGAUCGAGUUCCCACUACUCACCCAUCCCAGCUGGGUCUCAGCACUCCUGAGGCAUCAGGUUUAGGACACCUCCUGGGACCACAGCAGGUGUCAUCCAGUACCUGGUAGGGGCAAGUAGUGCAGUUCCUUUGAUUUUCAUUGGCACUUUCAACUCUGUAGGGAUCAGAAAAUCCGAAGGGGAUGAUGAUCACACAUGGCAGUGAAGUGGAUGUAUCUUUGUAGCAUCCCCUCAGGACUCUCCAGCCUGGGCCAGUCUGGGAACAGUCAGAAGAGUGGAGCUUUGGCCAGCCUCCCAGUGCUGGUCAUUGGCAGAAUUUCAUGGCAUCUGGUGGCCUGGUGGGCAUCACUUGGUGCACAUCCAUCUGGCCAAGACCGCAAAUGGAUUUCUGCCAACAACAAGGCUCCCACUGCAUUCAGCGAGCUCAGUGAAAACUAGCAGCGAGGCCACAUCCACUGGACCCCUGGGCAAAACACUCGAGCUUCAGGUGAGCAGGUGGUUCCCUGCCUCCACUAUGGCUCAUGGGGAGUUUUCAUCCACCACCAGGCCCCCAAGUUGUGUGCUCAUCUGCAUGAUCAUGGACUCCAGGCUUUUUGGAAGGACCAGCUCCUGGGCCCUCUUCAGAACUGUUCUCCUGCCACUGACUCAGCCUAUUCUGCAUCCAGCCCCAUGAGUUGAUGACCCACUCAUGGACCUGCAGUGUCCCUUGUCACCUGGUUCAACCACACUGAAUCCACUCUUCUCCUGAAAUCCACUUGAGCUGCAUCCCACAUGCCUGUUGGUGUAGUCACUCUAAGUAUUUCUAAUUCCCAUUGUGAAUCCUGCUCAGACCUGUGAUCCACUGAGAAAUGCAUCUUUGCUUCCAAAUCUGUGGGUUUUUAAACCAUCAACAAGGAAGUAUCGAGGGCACCACAGAGAAGUCACUGUGUUCUGGGUCUGAAAUACCCAAGAGGGCCACUCCCCACUAAACUUGUAUAUUUUUGGCUAUGCAUGUGUUUUGUUUUGUAUGUUUGUGUUUUUUGUCUUUUUAAGGCCACACCUGCAUCAUAUUGAAGUUCCCAGGCUAAGAGUACAAUUGGAGCUACAGCUGCCAGCUUAUGGCACAGCCACGUCAAUGCCAGAUCUGAACCACAUCUGCAACAUAUGCCAUAGCUUGUGACAAUGCAGGAAGCUUUUUUUUUUUAAUU
This 1224-nucleotide long non-coding RNA is filed under the name Sus scrofa (pig). RNAcentral describes it as "lncRNA (ENSSSCG00030045031.1)". Lineage: Eukaryota; Metazoa; Chordata; Mammalia; Artiodactyla; Suidae. The record is from RNAcentral.